UUUUUAUGAUGAUACAAUUCCAAAAAUGCAAGUAGGGACAUGAGAAUAUUAUAAAUAUGUUCGUCUUCUAUUAUCUGAAAAAA
This is a small nucleolar RNA of Plasmodium falciparum MaliPS096_E11, 83 nucleotides long. It matches the Rfam family "small nucleolar RNA snoR22". NCBI's taxonomy places the organism in Eukaryota, Apicomplexa, Aconoidasida, Haemosporida, Plasmodiidae. The record is from Rfam.